This is a long non-coding RNA of Acinonyx jubatus (cheetah), 1317 nucleotides long. RefSeq lists it as uncharacterized. The record is from RefSeq and is a predicted model, not a curated record. Lineage: Eukaryota; Metazoa; Chordata; Mammalia; Carnivora; Felidae. The transcript has 2 exons.
GCUGGCAGAUGCUGCCAGCUAGGUUCUAAUGCUGAGCUUUAUUAGCUGGGUGGUUCGGGGAGGGGCAUCUGUGACCAGUCUGCCCGGUUAACGCUGCCCUAAUCCAGCCAAGAGGGAAGCUUGGAAACUCCCCCUCUUUCCCCGAGAAGGCGGUUCAGCAGCAAAGCGUGGGCUCCUCCGAGAAGGGGGGAGCACAACAGAAGGAGGCACCGGGCGCCCGGCAGGGGCAGUGAGAGGCCUGGCUUGCUGGGUCCAGCGCAGACAGGCUGAGCGAGGCCGCCCUCCCCAGGGGCCUUCUCAGGCCUGGCCCUACCUGGCCCUCAGAACCUCAACCUCCCCCAGGCAGGCCUCCCGCCUCCAGGCCUCCCCUAGAUGCCUCCCCCAGACAGGCUGGCCGCACAGCAGCACAAAAGGUCAGCGGACGUGGUCUCUGUUUCCCGCUGCGCCACCAGGCCCGGCCCUGAAUUGCACAGACGCUCUGGGGGCUGCGUCCUGCGCCGAGUGCUGGUACGCAGGGGGUGGGGGGGGACACAUGGGGACGUGGCACCUGCAGGCAGAUGUCUUGCGGGCCAGGCUUCCCAGACCCUCCGUAACAGGCGUCGCUGCAUUUUCGAGUCCUCUGUACACCUUGCUCCUGGCUGACCCAGAAGUGACCCCCUUCAUUCUUGGCUCUGGCCUUACUCUUUGGGGCUGGGGUUGGACCUCUCUUCCAGGAGGCCUUCCUGGGCCCCGCCAGCCCUGGAGGCCCAGCUCAGGGCAUAACAAUGACCACAGUGACUCACAAAGCCCCCACCUCAGCCCCUUUGUGGGGAAAAUGGGAACGUCUCAGGAGCCCAUGAGCUAAAUGUGUGCAAAACGCUGCCGUAGACAGCAGUUCUUUGGAAAUGCCAAAGUGCUUUGAGAUCCAGAAAGCACGUCACUAACCCCGGCAGCCAACCUCCAAGAUGGCCUCCAGAGACCCUCCCUGCUGGUAUUUACGACCUCAUACAGCCUCUUCCGACUCUGAGUGGCCUGGGCGACGACAGGAUAGUGUGGAAAAGGCAGAGGGUGACUUCCCAGUGAGGCCACAAGGGGCAGGGACUUCCUCCUUGUGCCCGUGGGCCACCCAUCCUGUCAUGAAGAUGCUCAAGUAGCCCAUGGACACGGCCAGGUGAGAGGAGCUGGGGCCCAGCCAGCAGUGGCCGGUACUGAUGCGUGGGCCGCCUUGAAGGAGGGGAUCCUCUGCCCCAGAAAGCUCUGCUCUUGCAAAAGAAAUCCUCUGCGCUUUCAGAAUAUUGCCUCUGCUGUGAGUUUUUAAAAAUUCAUCCAGAAAGUCAA